ACGGGGGCCAGCUCCGGAGAUCCUGUGCAGAGAGCUGUCUGGCCCUCCAGGAUCAGAGCCUCCUGAAGAAAGCAGUGUAAACCUUAGUAGGACAGCAAGACCACCUCGUCCUGCAGGAGCCCCAUUAUAGGCGGGGACCAGGAAAUACUAAGUCAGAAGAAGCUAGGAGAGGAGGUGGCUGUGAAUAUGUGUUUGCAGGGGACUGGGGGAGUGGAUCAUGCCUUCCAAGCUCCAAAUGAGAGCAUUCCCCAGAGGCCCACAGAAUCACCUGUUUGGGGGAUAUUUGACCUCUGAGGACAAAGCAGGAGAGUGUAUGACACCGAGGACAUCUGCAUGAAGUCCCCUUUGAAUGGAUGGAGAUGGAGACCCUCAAAGAAGGAAGGACUCCCCAUGGCCCUAAGCUGACAAACCACAGAACGAGGAUGACCACUCUGGGCUCCUGAUGUCCAGCACCUGUCCAUCUUUCAAGACCCUGCAGCUCCUUCGGCCUGCUGUGGGCACAGGGAAGGGACUCAGCUCAGAGACUGAGUCUCCUUACCACCCCAAGUCCCCGUGUCCCCUCAAAUGAGCCCUGAAGACAAGUGAAAGGAACUGGGGAGAAACCCCAAGCAGUCAAUACAUCAGCAGUGGGGCAGUGAGGCAACCCAACAGUGCAGCUGAAACCUCACAGCUGAAUCUCUGAGGUCCAGAGAGAGGGCAGAAACAGCUGCAUCUUGAAGAAGGAAGACCUAGGACAUCAAUCACAUGAACAUACCCAAGCCAAGAACGUGGCAGCAUGGACACAGAUCACAGUAAGCACGAAGCACCAUGGAUCCGGGCUCCUGGACACUUUCCCCAAGCCCUAAAUAGUCUACUGGAUGAUGUCCCAGCACUGCAGAUAAGGCAGCAGGGCAUGAUAUUCCAGGGAUUUGGGGCUCAGCAUGUGAAGGUAGAAAUAGAUCCAACCCUGCUCAUACCACAAGCUCAGAAGCAGAAGGUGGCAGCCUUGAAUGAAGAUCUCAUUUCAGAGUUCUUAGCUUAGCGCUGCCUUGGCCCAGGGCUGCAGCCUCUGGCCACCUCAGCACAGUCCCUCCCUGGCACCUGGUGGUGUGUAGGGGAACUUCUGUCCCUUCUCCCUCUUUUCCUAUCCCUCUCUUGUCCCUUCCUUCCUUUCUGGGUUCAAGGGCAAGCCCAGCCUCUCCCCAGCUCUUAGUUCAGUGGGACCCAGGGAGAUACUGCUGUGCAUCUCCCUGCCUCUAAGCCCCUGAGCGGAGGGAGAGACUCAUGUCUUCUCAUUCUUUCUUCACCACUAAUACCGCUUGUCCCCGGCCACCCAACAGCCCUGGACCGUGCAGACAUGACUCAGAAAUCAGGGGGAACAGUAAGAAACCAGCCUGGGAAUCCCCCAGCCUUUCUCACAAUCUCCCUCUCUGCACCCCAACCCUGGCUCUCUGUCUCAGCUGAUUAAACUCACUCUCAGAACCCCCUGGAGGCCCUUCCUUCUAGCUUCUCCAUCUGGCUUCAGGGAGGCCUCUGGCCCCCACUGCACUGAGGAAGAGACAGAGCCAUAACAAUGGACUGGAGGCUCCCACAGACCACCUGCUAAACUCUCACUCUUGUUGUCCAGAAUAUGCUCAUUGGCUAAAGACCUGAUUUUGUAACUCUCUUUCUAGAACUUUCCUCCUUUCCAGACCACUGGACCACAGUGGCCAUCCCCACUGUCAGAAAACUCAUCUCAUUUUCCAACUUUUCUCAAAUGCCUCUAUUCUUUCUUGUUCUGGGGAUUAGCAGGGUCUAACCGCCCCCCAAGUGAGGCUAUUCCUUAGCACCCCACCCCCAGCAAAAAUAAUUCCCAUCUUACCUCUUCUAAAACUUACAGUCCCAGCUCCUUGGGCCUGAGGCACAGAAAGAACACUUUCCUUCCAGCCAGUAAGUGGCAAAGAAGAGCAAACCUGGGCUUUUACCUUGUAGAAGCCCAGUGGAAGGCCCCACAGCUCUCCCCAGCCCCCUGAGCUUUGCUCUUUCUUCCCAGUGGACCCAAUGGCCCGGUGUCCUCAGUCAGGAAAAUCCCCAGCAGCCAACCUCUCCUCUCUCUGGCUUCCUGCUCUUCUUGUGUAACUCUCUCCAUUACACAUGGGUACACACACCCAGUCGUUGCAGGCCUUCUCUGGAGCUGUCCCCAACAGAACUCACAUUGGCUCCAGUGUCAGGGGCAGGACAUGCAAUGCCGGGUCUCUCUCUGUCUGGAGAGUGAGGCCAGAAAGGAGCAGAGGUAGAGAUUUUCUGCCAGCAGCAUGGAGAGGGGUCACAGCCCAGAACAGAAGCCAAUGCCUGCCCAUCACCUGCUGCUCGGCUCACGCACACACUGGAGUCCUGGGGUGCUUCAUUCUCACAGCCCGUAUCUGCUGUGGGGCUUACAGGACAGAAUGGGACAGCCCCCCAGAAGGCAUUGAGGCAUUUUCAUGGAAUUCAUGAAGAUGACCCAAACCUUUUUCCAGUGAGAAUAUAUGUCAUGGUCUUCAGGCCUCAAAGGGCUACUUCCUACAGGAAGGGCACAUCACCUGGCUGGUGGGUAGGAAGGGCUGGAAUAGGUGAGUGCCACGGUGGGAAGAGUAGCAACCGUUCUGACCCCAUCAUACCCAGUUACAUAAAGCUCCAGCUGACUUGGUAUAAACUAUGACUAAGAAAACUUUCCAAAGACAGUUGGUGGUCCUCCACCCCCCUGCAACUGGUGAGAACUACCCCCACAGAGAGCAGAGCAGAGAUUAGGGCUCCUAGCUCCAUGGCCCUGACUCAUCACACACACAAACACUCCCCAACACUUUUUCCCAAAAUGGUUCCCCUCCUACCCGUCCACCCUCCUACCCGGGCUGGGUGACAAAAAUGAACACCCCAGAGAUCUUGCCAAGUUCUGGGCCAGGCUGAGCCCAGGGAACAUAACAUUCUUCACAGAAUGAGGAAGCCAACUCUCCCACAGAAACAAAGUCCAUUCAAAGGAAAAUCACCACUGGCUGACCCUACUAUGGUCACUGCAUUGUUUCUCAAAUAGCUUGGACUACCUGCCCUCAAAAAAGAGCUCAAAGCGCUGAAAU
This is a long non-coding RNA of Leptonychotes weddellii (Weddell seal), 3071 nucleotides long. RefSeq lists it as uncharacterized. The record is from RefSeq and is a predicted model, not a curated record. Lineage: Eukaryota; Metazoa; Chordata; Mammalia; Carnivora; Phocidae.